Molecule: long non-coding RNA, 633 nt
Organism: Gracilinanus agilis (Agile Gracile Mouse Opossum)
Lineage: Eukaryota; Metazoa; Chordata; Mammalia; Didelphimorphia; Didelphidae
Exons: 3
Source: RefSeq, a predicted model, not a curated record
GAGUGCGGCGCGGGGGAGCGCCCCCCCCUGGCUGGGCUGUGCUAGCCCGGGAGCUCCUCCGCUUCCCUCCCUCCCUCCUUCCCUUCUUCCCUCCCUCCUCCCGCCCCUUAGCGCCAGCCCUCGGCUCCGCCUGCGCCGCCGCGCUGCUCGGCUCCGCUGCAGCCCCUCCGGCUGCCCGCCCUAACGGUCUAUAACGGCCACGGGCCCGGAGAACAAGUCCUCUGGCGCGCGCGCCGCCCAAGGGCUCGUGAGGAGGCUAAAGCUAGCUAGGCCCGCGUGCUGCCGCCACGGAGAACCAGAUUCUAUAAUCAAUGGUGGAUCUUCUAAUUAUAUAAGAAGAAAAGGAAAAAAAUAUUCUGAAGAUUAAGGUUCAGUCGUCUCUGAGUGAACUUUUCUACAAGCCUCCUUACUCUGUGGAUUUAGAUGAAAGGAUAUUGAAAAAUCAAGUUUUCACAUAGUUUAAAUAUCCCUGAAUUUACCUUUAUAGAGAGACCAGCCCUUAUUUGUCAUACAGAAGAUGAUUACUCUCUAUUGUAAUCACCAGUGUUAUUGGGGGGGGGGCGGGGAAUCAAGUUAUACUAGACUAUUUAAAAAACUUUUUAUUAUAUGAGCCUUAAAAAUAAAGUCAGUUUU